CAGAACAUAAUUUAAAUAGAGUAGUGGCUUUGGGGGCCACAGGUAAAGGUUAAAGUCCUUUUGUUUUGA
This 69-nucleotide transfer RNA is filed under the name Gephyromantis klemmeri (Klemmer's Madagascar frog). RNAcentral's name for it is "tRNA-Pro". It matches the Rfam family "tRNA". From Rfam's summary of the family: Transfer RNA (tRNA) molecules are approximately 80 nucleotides in length. Their secondary structure includes four short double-helical elements and three loops (D, anti-codon, and T loops). Further hydrogen bonds mediate the characteristic L-shaped molecular structure. tRNAs have two regions of fundamental functional importance: the anti-codon, which is responsible for specific mRNA codon recognition, and the 3' end, to which the tRNAs corresponding amino acid is attached (by aminoacyl-tRNA synthetases). tRNAs cope with the degeneracy of the genetic code in two manners: having more than one tRNA (with a specific anti-codon) for a particular amino acid; and 'wobble' base-pairing, i.e. permitting non-standard base-pairing at the 3rd anti-codon position. Lineage: Eukaryota; Metazoa; Chordata; Amphibia; Anura; Mantellidae. The record is from RNAcentral.